This 305-nucleotide ribosomal RNA is filed under the name uncultured bacterium. RNAcentral's name for it is "bacterial SSU rRNA". It matches the Rfam family "Bacterial small subunit ribosomal RNA", at positions 334 to 635 of the family's 1533-position model. The record is from RNAcentral.
UGGUCCCUACGGGACGCAGCAGUGAGGAAUAUUGGUCAAUGGCCGGAAGGCUGAACCAGCCAAGUCGCGUGAGGGAAUAAGGCCCUAUGGGUCGUAAACCUCUUUUGUCAGGGAGCAAAGGCGUCCACAUGUGGACGAGAGGAGAGUACCUGAAGAAAAAGCAUCGGCUAACUCCGUGCCAGCAGCCGCGGUGAUACGGAGGAUGCGAGCGUUAUCCGGAUUUAUUGGGUUUAAAGGGUGCGUAGGCGGAGUGUCAAGUCUGGAGUGAAAGGUACCGGCUCAACCGGUACAGGCUCUGGAAACUG